This 253-nucleotide ribosomal RNA is filed under the name uncultured bacterium. RNAcentral's name for it is "partial 16S ribosomal RNA". It matches the Rfam family "Bacterial small subunit ribosomal RNA", at positions 524 to 776 of the family's 1533-position model. The record is from RNAcentral.
UACGUAGGGUGCGAGCGUUGUCCGGAAUUAUUGGGCGUAAAGAGCUCGUAGGCGGUCUGUCGCGUCUGCUGUGAAAUCCCGAGGCUCAACCUCGGGCUUGCAGUGGGUACGGGCAGGCUAGAGUGCGGUAGGGGAGAAUGGAACUCCUGGUGUAGCGGUGGAAUGCGCAGAUAUCAGGAAGAACACCGAUGGCGAAGGCAGUUCUCUGGGCCGUAACUGACGCUGAGGAGCGAAAGCAUGGGUAGCGAACAGG